UACAGAGGUCCCGAGCGUUGUUCGGAUUCACUGGGCGUAAAGGGUGCGUAGGUGGUGAGGUAAGUCGGAUGUGAAAUCUCCGGGCUCAACCCGGAAACUGCAUUGGAAACUACCUUGCUAGAGGUUUUGAGGGGGGACUGGAAUUCUCGGUGUAGCAGUGAAAUGCGUAGAUAUCAGGAGGAACACCGAUGGCGAAGGCAGGUCUCUGGGCUGACACUGACGCUCAUGCACGAAAGCGUGGGGAGCAAACAGG
This 253-nucleotide ribosomal RNA is filed under the name uncultured bacterium. Its description in RNAcentral is "partial 16S ribosomal RNA". It matches the Rfam family "Bacterial small subunit ribosomal RNA", at positions 524 to 776 of the family's 1533-position model. The record is from RNAcentral.